Molecule: unclassified non-coding RNA, 2009 nt
Filed under: Hevea brasiliensis (rubber tree)
Lineage: Eukaryota; Viridiplantae; Streptophyta; Magnoliopsida; Malpighiales; Euphorbiaceae
Source: RNAcentral
CCGCAUUCAACAGCUCAGCUCCUCUUCCCGCUUCCUUUGGUCCUGAAACUAUGUCAAUGUCUCUGCACCAUGCUUACCCCUAUCUCUCUGCCUUCAAAUCGACUUCCUCAACCCCAAUUCGCCCCAAGUCAAGCCGACUCGGUGCUAACUCAGUCAGGUGCUGCGUCGCAGCAACCGAGUCCCGGCAAGUCACGGUCAAGAACGGGAACGAUUCGCUGGACAUUUGCCGAGUACUAAAUGGGAUGUGGCAAACUAGUGGCGGAUGGGGGCGUAUUGACCGCGAUGACGCGGUCGAGGCUAUGCUUAAAUACGCCGACGCCGGCCUCACCACCUUCGACAUGGCCGACCACUGUAUGUAUAUAUGAUUCCAUUAAUGUAAAUUUCUUGUUCCAGCUUUUCUAUUCUUUUUUCCCCCAGUUUUCUAUUUAUGCGGUGUGGGUUUUUUGAUGACACGUGGUCUCCUAGGUAUCCAUUAACGUCUCUAGCUGAGAAAGGAAAGCAGAUAAGAAUUGUAGAGACGGCAUUUCCUUUUCAGUCUUUAUAUUUGCGCUUCUCUCUAUCUUUUUGCUUGUUGGUAUUUGGGUUCUUGUAUUGAAAUGGCAGAGAUCAUGAACCAUUCUUUUUCCAACUUCAACUUCUACCCACUCAAUCUGAAAACCAGAAUAGUCGCUGAAUUGAGAAAACCCUGUGUGAAGCCGUUGCAAUGUGUACUAACUGAGGAUGACAGGAAAAUUAUAGUGAAGAAUGGGAAGGAUUCAUUAGGUAUUUGUAGAGUUGUGAAUGGGAUGUGGCAGACAAGCAGUGGGUGGGGCAAUAUUGAACGUGACAAUGCUGUUGAUGCUAUGCUUAAAUAUGCUGAUUCUGGACUCACCACUUUUGAUAUGGCUGAUAUAUAUGGACCUGCUGAAGAUCUUUUUGGCAUUUUCAUCAAUCGUGUUCGCCGAGAACGCCCACCAGAGCUCUUGGAUCAGAUUAGAGGUCUUACCAAGUGGGUGCCUCCACCAGUUAAGAUGACAAGUAGCUUCGUCAGGGAGAGCAUCAAUGUUUCACGAAAGAGAAUGGAUGUAUCUUCCUUGGACAUGCUUCAGUUUCAUUGGUGGGACUAUUCCAAUCCCGGUUACCUUGAUGCUCUUAAAAACCUCACAGACCUAAAAGAAGAAGGUAAAAUUAAGACUGUUGCUCUGACAAAUUUCGACACGGAAAGAUUACAAAUAAUUCUGGAAAAUGAAAUCCCUGUUGUCAGCAAUCAGGUGCAGCAUUCAAUCAUUGACAUGCGUCCUCAGCAGAAAAUGGCAGAGCUCUGUCAACUCACAGGAGUUAAACUUAUAACGUAUGGGACAGUAAUGGGUGGGCUGCUAUCUGAAAAAUUCCUUGACACCAACUUAGCCAUUCCUUUUGCUGGGCCCCCAUUAAAUACUCCAUCUCUCCAGAAAUACAAAAGGAUGGUGGAUGCUUGGGGAGGAUGGAGUCAAUUUCAAGUUUUGCUGCAGACACUUAAAAAGAUAGCUUCUAAACAUGGUGUCUCAAUUCCAACUGUUGCUGUGAGAUACGUACUAGAUCAGCCAGCAGUGGCGGGAUCAAUGAUAGGUGUUCGUCUUGGUUUGUCAGAACAUAUCAAUGAUGCUAAUGCUGUGUUUUCACUUGUUCUUGAUGAGGAGGAUGUAAAUAACAUACAAGAAGUUUCCAAGAAAGGGAAAGACCUAAUGAAAGUGAUUGGGGACUGCGGAGAUGAGUAUAGGCGCGCAUGAACUGAGCAUCCAUAAAUUUUGUUGUUAUCCUUAUAUAUAUAAUUUUUGUGUGUAAUGUAGUUAAUUCUUCAUUUGAAGAUGUUCUAAGAUAGUUGUUGAAAUUUUACUCUAUGAUUGAACUUCAUUAGAAGACGAGUGCAUAUCAAUACAUUUAUUAUUUCAGAAACUAGAACACUGAUUUCUUCGACAUAGUGAGAGCUUUGAACUCAAACCUAUAGAAUGUUGUAAAUUCUAAGCUUUGUAUGUUACCUUUCUCUAAUU